ACCACCAUGGUGAUUUGCAAGCAAGUCACUACGCUUUGGUGUCACACUAUCUGAAUUUUUAAUUCAGUGAUAAAAGAUUUUUGAACAUAGUCAAGUACUUAUGAAGUCAGUGUGUGAGUCAAGAUGGAAUUGCCCUCUCUAAAUAAGGAGUUAAUUUAUCAACAUGUUUUAAUUUAGUAAAAUCUCAGCCGAGGUAAUCCAUAAGAUGGAUUUGGAAAAACUGAAAUGUGGAUGACUAUAUCAGGAUUGAC
RNAcentral lists this long non-coding RNA (251 nucleotides) under Elaeis guineensis (African oil palm). RNAcentral's name for it is "long non-coding RNA (EGUI_LNC051422)". Lineage: Eukaryota; Viridiplantae; Streptophyta; Magnoliopsida; Arecales; Arecaceae. The record is from RNAcentral.